AGAGUUUGAUCCUGGCUCAGAUUGAACGCUGGCGGCAGGCCUGAUACAUGCAAGUCGAACGGUAACUGGAGAAAAGCUUGCUUUUCUUGCAGACGAGUGGCGGACGGGUGAGUAAUAUUUGGGAAGCUACCUGAUAGAGGGGGACAACAGUUGGAAACGACUGCUAAUACCGCAUAUAGCCUGAGGGUGAAAGCAGCAAUGCGCUAUCAGAUGCGCCCAAACGGGAUUAGCUAGUAGGUGAGGUAAAGGCUCACCUAGGCGACGAUCCAUAGCCGGCCUGAGAGGGUGAACGGCCACAUUGGGACUGAGACACGGCCCACACUCCUACGGGAGGCAGCAGUGGGGAAUAUUGCACAAUGGGGGAAACCCUGAUGCAGCGACGCCGCGUGAAGGAAGAAGUAUCUCGGUAUGUAAACUUCUAUCAGCAGGGAAGAUGAUGACGGUACCUGACUAAGAAGCCCCGGCUAACUACGUGCCAGCAGCCGCGGUAAUACGUAGGGGGCAAGCGUUAUCCGGAUUUACUGGGUGUAAAGGGAGCGUAGACGGCGUAUCAAGUCUGAUGUGAAAGGCAUGGGCUCAACCCGUGGACUGCAUUGGAAACUGGUAUGCUUGAGUGCCGGAGGGGUAAGCGGAAUUCCUAGUGUAGCGGUGAAAUGCGUAAAUAUUAGGAGGAACACCGGUGGCGGAAGGCGGCUUACUGGACGGUUAACUGACGUUGAGGCUCGAAAGGCGUGGGGAACAAACGGGAAUUAGAUACCC
RNAcentral lists this ribosomal RNA (759 nucleotides) under uncultured bacterium. RNAcentral's name for it is "bacterial SSU rRNA". It matches the Rfam family "Bacterial small subunit ribosomal RNA", at positions 8 to 787 of the family's 1533-position model. The record is from RNAcentral.